RNAcentral lists this transfer RNA (88 nucleotides) under Enterococcus faecalis. RNAcentral describes it as "tRNA-Val". It matches the Rfam family "tRNA". From Rfam's summary of the family: Transfer RNA (tRNA) molecules are approximately 80 nucleotides in length. Their secondary structure includes four short double-helical elements and three loops (D, anti-codon, and T loops). Further hydrogen bonds mediate the characteristic L-shaped molecular structure. tRNAs have two regions of fundamental functional importance: the anti-codon, which is responsible for specific mRNA codon recognition, and the 3' end, to which the tRNAs corresponding amino acid is attached (by aminoacyl-tRNA synthetases). tRNAs cope with the degeneracy of the genetic code in two manners: having more than one tRNA (with a specific anti-codon) for a particular amino acid; and 'wobble' base-pairing, i.e. permitting non-standard base-pairing at the 3rd anti-codon position. The record is from RNAcentral. RNAcentral also lists the same sequence under 1 other name. Lineage: Bacteria; Bacillati; Bacillota; Bacilli; Lactobacillales; Enterococcaceae.
CCGGGUUGGCGGAACUGGGAUACGCGCUUAGAUUACAGCUAAGUUAGACAUGAAAUGUCUUUUGGGGGUUCGAAUCCUCCACCCGGCA